RNAcentral lists this ribosomal RNA (234 nucleotides) under uncultured bacterium. RNAcentral's name for it is "partial 16S ribosomal RNA". It matches the Rfam family "Bacterial small subunit ribosomal RNA", at positions 15 to 240 of the family's 1533-position model. The record is from RNAcentral.
GAUCCUGGCUCAGGAUGAACGCUAGCUACAGGCUUAACACAUGCAAGUCGAGGGGCAGCAUGAUUGAAGCUUGCUUCAAUUGAUGGCGACCGGCGCACGGGUGAGUAACACGUAUCCAACCUUCCGUACACUCAGGGAUAGCCUUUCGAAAGAAAGAUUAAUACCUGAUGGUAUCUUAAGCACACAUGUAAUUAAGAUUAAAGGUAUUCCGGUAGACGAUGGGGAUGCGUUCCA